RNAcentral lists this ribosomal RNA (874 nucleotides) under Erythrobasidium elongatum. RNAcentral describes it as "LSU rRNA". It matches the Rfam family "Eukaryotic large subunit ribosomal RNA", at positions 74 to 966 of the family's 3401-position model. Lineage: Eukaryota; Fungi; Basidiomycota; Cystobasidiomycetes; Erythrobasidiales; Erythrobasidiaceae. The record is from RNAcentral.
AUUCCCCUAGUAACGGCGAGUGAAGUGGGAAAAGCUCAACUUUGAAAUCUGGCUGCUUUGCAGUCCGAGUUGUAGUCUCGAGAAGUGUUUUCCGCGUUAAACCGUGUAUGAGUCUGUUGGAAUACAGCGUCAUAGAGGGUGAGAACCCCGUUCAUGACACGGCUUUUAAUGCUUUGUGAUACAUUUUCGAUGAGUCGAGUUGUUUGGGAAUGCAGCUCAAAUUGGGUGGUAAAUUCCAUCUAAAGCUAAAUAUUGGCGGGAGACCGAUAGCAAACAAGUACCGUGAGGGAAAGAUGAAAAGCACUUUGGAAAGAGAGUUAAAAGUACGUGAAAUUGUCGAAAGGGAAACGCUUGAAGUCAGACGUGCACGGGAUUCAUUCCCAUUGCAGGCCAACAUCGGUUUUGCGAGCCGGAUAAAGGUAGAAGGAAGGUGGCAGUCUCGGCUGUGUUAUAGCCUUCUACUGAAUACGGAUUGCGAGACCGAGGGACGCAGCGCGCCGCAAGGCAGAGGGUUCGCCCUUUUCGCGCUUAGGAUGUUGGUGAAAUGGCUUUAAACGACCCGUCUUGAAACACGGACCAAGGAGUCUAACAUGCUUGCGAGUAUUUGGGUGUCAAACCCACAUGCGCAAUGAAAGUGAAUGGAGGUGGGAUCCUUUACGGGAGCACCAUCGACCGGCCUGGAAGUUUACUGAAAGGUCUGAGUAAGAGCACGUAUGUUGGGACCCGAAAGAUGGUGAACUAUGCCUGAAUAGGGUGAAGCCAGAGGAAACUCUGGUGGAGGCUCGUAGCGGUUCUGACGUGCAAAUCGAUCGUCAAAUUUAGGUAUAGGGGCGAAAGACUAAUCGAACCAUCUAGUAGCUGGUUCCUGCCGAAG